Molecule: unclassified non-coding RNA, 354 nt
Filed under: soil metagenome
Description: partial contains 5.8S ribosomal RNA, internal transcribed spacer 2, and large subunit ribosomal RNA
Rfam family: 5.8S ribosomal RNA (bases 1-119)
Source: RNAcentral
GAUGAAGAACGCAGUGAAAUGCGAUAAGUAUGUGAAUUGCAGAAUUCAGUGAAUCAUCGAAUCUUUGAACGCACAUUGCGCCCAUUAGUAUUCUAGUGGGCAUGCCUGUUCGAGCGUCAUUAAGUCCACUUAAGCCCUGCUUAGUGUUGGGAGACUGCUCCAGCGGUGCUACCCUGUAGCUACCCUGCAGCUCCUCAAAGACAGCGGCGGAGUUGUGGUAUCCUCUGAGCUUAGUAACUUGUUCUAGCUUUCGAGUACACCACUUCCCCUGCCGUAAAACCCUUAAUUUUUAAUGGUUGACCUCGGAUCAGGUAGGAAUACCCGCUGAACUUAAGCAUAUCAAUAAGCGGAGGA